AUUGAACGCUGGCGGCAUGCCUUACACAUGCAAGUCGAACGGCAGCACGGGUGCUUGCACCUGGUGGCGAGUGGCGAACGGGUGAGUAAUACAUCGGAACGUACCUUAUCGUGGGGGAUAACGCAGCGAAAGUUGCGCUAAUACCGCAUACGCCCUGAGGGGGAAAGCGGGGGACCGUAAGGCCUCGCGCGAUUAGAGCGGCCGAUGUCUGAUUAGCUUGUUGGUGAGGUAAAAGCUCACCAAGGCGAUGAUCAGUAGCUGGUCUGAGAGGACGAUCAGCCACACUGGGACUGAGACACGGCCCAGACUCCUACGGGAGGCAGCAGUGGGGAAUUUUGGACAAUGGGGGCAACCCUGAUCCAGCAAUGCCGCGUGAGUGAAGAAGGCCUUCGGGUUGUAAAGCUCUUUUGUCAGGGAAGAAACAGCAGCUCUAACACAGACUGCGAAUGACGGUACCUGAAGAAUAAGCACCGGCUAACUACGUGCCAGCAGCCGCGGUAAUACGUAGGGUGCCAGCGUUAAUCGGAAUUACUGGGCGUAAA
RNAcentral lists this ribosomal RNA (542 nucleotides) under uncultured bacterium. RNAcentral's name for it is "bacterial SSU rRNA". It matches the Rfam family "Bacterial small subunit ribosomal RNA", at positions 28 to 564 of the family's 1533-position model. The record is from RNAcentral.